This 71-nucleotide transfer RNA is filed under the name Marmota monax (woodchuck). Its description in RNAcentral is "tRNA.Ala". Lineage: Eukaryota; Metazoa; Chordata; Mammalia; Rodentia; Sciuridae. The record is from RNAcentral.
GGGGUUGUGGCUCAGUGGUAGAGUGCUUGCCUAGCAUGUACGAGGCACUGGGUUCGAUCCUCAGGACCACA